Molecule: long non-coding RNA, 653 nt
Organism: Pieris napi
Lineage: Eukaryota; Metazoa; Arthropoda; Insecta; Lepidoptera; Pieridae
Exons: 4
Source: RefSeq, a predicted model, not a curated record
UCUUAGACAAAUAUUUUGCUGAAAAAUAACUAUAAAAAAUGCCUGCUUUAGACGAUUUACCAAAUGUGUCCAGCUUCUUUGGGAUCGAUUUGAAAACAGGAUCAAUGAUCAUAGCAGCCUUGGGUGUCGUACACCCAAUGGCUUACGGCUGUUCAUUCUUCGUUCCUCUGAGCUAUCUUCUAGUGACAGUAUGGAUAUUAGUUGCUCUAUAUUUCGCAGCAAGCAUAGUUUUGUUUUGGGGAUUAACGAACGAUGACACUUACCUAUGUGCAAUAUGGAUAUGGUAUGCGCUAAUAUUUGUGGUGGUGAUGUUGAUGAUGAUGAUGUUGUUAGCUCUAGUCUUCACCUCCAGGAAACAGAGGAACCGAGUAGUCGUCGUUAUAUUUGGCAUUUUAUGGUACAUAUUAACCAUUUACUUCAUCAUCGUCGUGAAUAGCUAUCGAAAACAGCUGCUCGGUGCGACAACGUUCACUGAUUCGAUUUUAGACAAGGAUACUUGAAUUCAAUAUAAUUUAUUUGCUUUGAGAAGUUUUAUUGUAUACUAGAACUUAUUUCGUGUUUAUUGAACUCUUUUAUAUAUCAUUUGUAUUCCUAUCGAUAUUUAAGAUCUCACAGAUCUAUUGAAAUUCAUAAAGGCAGUAUUUAGAUAAUCU